CCCUCUACGACUCAAUAAUACACAAGAAGCCGGUAUAGACGACAGCAUACAUCAGUGCACUUCACCCUAAAGUUGCAGCCCUGCCCCCUUUUGAGUGAAAGCAGUACUUCUUGAUGGAGGAUGGAUGUCAAGUGAAUGUAAGGUGAGGGAUGUCUUUGCUGUUAUUAUUGAAGGAACUGUAACUGAGUGGUUUACAUGUUUCUCUAAAAACAGCCAUUAGUAAGCAGAAAAGAGCCCCAAGUCUUGGUAUUUUGUUUGUUUAGUUGUCCUCAUUGUUGUGUAAGCUGCUGUGACAGUUUCACUUCUUGUAAAUGAUUGAUAGGAGGCUAGCUCACAUCAGCUAAAACAUAACUAAAGCUCUUAUUUCUCAACCCUGUUUUUGAGACAUGCAUAACAUUAUUUGUUUCAGGUCUCUCUGUCUCAAAAGAAACUUCCUGAAAAUAAAAAUGCAUAAACAGCAUACUUCCAUGCUUCAUACUUUUAUCGAAUUUCCCCUUCAGGAUAAAUAACCUUCAUAUCUUUCUAACCAUUUCCAUGACAACAAGUCAAUAGUCUUCACUUUGCUGCUUUUUUAUUUAAAAAAAAAGGGUGUCUGGUGUCUCCCUUGUUUUGAAAGAAGCUCACUGACAUUUCCUCUGUAUGCAUACAGUCAAUAGGUCAGUGACAUCAGCCUGAAAUGUAACUCUCCUGUUUCUUCUUCUACAGCCAUAAAAUGUGUCACAGGGAUGAAAAAAAAUCAGCUUUGAGCCUGCGGCGUAAAUCCACCCUGACAGGACUGCUGAGAAAGCUCUGCGUCCUCAGCAACGCUCAGAGAACUGCCUGCCUCGCCGUCCACACGGCAACAAAGCUCAC
This is a non-coding RNA of Xyrichtys novacula (pearly razorfish), 852 nucleotides long. Lineage: Eukaryota; Metazoa; Chordata; Actinopteri; Labriformes; Labridae. The record is from the annotation of a GenBank genome assembly.